This 927-nucleotide ribosomal RNA is filed under the name uncultured bacterium. RNAcentral's name for it is "bacterial SSU rRNA". It matches the Rfam family "Bacterial small subunit ribosomal RNA", at positions 57 to 964 of the family's 1533-position model. The record is from RNAcentral.
GCAAGUCGAGCGGACAGAAGGGAGCUUGCUCCCGGAUGUUAGCGGCGGACGGGUGAGUAACACGUGGGUAACCUGCCUGUAAGACUGGGAUAACUCCGGGAAACCGGAGCUAAUACCGGAUAGUUCCUUGAACCGCAUGGUUCAAGGAUGAAAGACGGUUUCGGCUGUCACUUACAGAUGGACCCGCGGCGCAUUAGCUAGUUGGUGGGGUAAUGGCUCACCAAGGCGACGAUGCGUAGCCGACCUGAGAGGGGUAUCGGGCCACACUGGGACUGAGACACGGCCCAGACUCCUACGGGAGGCAGCAGUAGGGAAUCUUCCGCAAUGGACGAAAGUCUGACGGAGCAACGCCGCGUGAGUGAUGAAGGUUUUCGGAUCGUAAAGCUCUGUUGUUAGGGAAGAACAAGUGCGAGAGUAACUGCUCGCACCUUGACGGUACCUAACCAGAAAGCCACGGCUAACUACGUGCCAGCAGCCGCGGUAAUACGUAGGUGGCAAGCGUUGUCCGGAAUUAUUGGGCGUAAAGGGCUCGCAGGCGGUUUCUUAAGUCUGAUGUGAAAGCCCCCGGCUCAACCGGGGAGGGUCAUUGGAAACUGGGAAACUUGAGUGCAGAAGAGAGAGUGGAAUUCCACGUGUAGCGGUGAAAUGCGUAGAGAUGUGGAGGAACACCAGUGGCGAAAGCGACUCUCUGGUCUGUAACUGACGCUGAGAGCGAAAGCGUGGGGGAGCGAACAGGAUUAGAUACCCUGGGUAGUCCACGCCGUAAACGAUGAGUGCUAAGUGUUAAGGGGGUUUCCGCCCCCUUAGUGCUGCAGCUAACGCAUUAAGCACCUCCGCCUGGGGGAGUACGGUCGCAAGACUGAAAGCUCAAAGAAUUGACGGGGCCCGCACAGCGGUGAGCAUGUGGUUUAAUUCGAAGCAACGCGA